UGGGUUUGACAUGCACCAGACGCACUCAGAGAUGGGUGUUCCCUUGUGGUUGGUGUGCAGGUGGUGCAUGGCUGUCGUCAGCUCGUGUCGUGAGAUGUUGGGUUAAGUCCCGCAACGAGCGCAACCCUUGUUCCAUGUUGCCAGCACGUAAUGGUGGGGACUCAUGGGAGACUGCCGGGGUCAACUCGGAGGAAGGUGGGGAUGACGUCAAGUCAUCAUGCCCCUUAUCG
Molecule: ribosomal RNA, 230 nt
Filed under: uncultured bacterium
Lineage: Bacteria
Description: partial 16S ribosomal RNA
Rfam family: Bacterial small subunit ribosomal RNA
Source: RNAcentral